This 987-nucleotide long non-coding RNA is filed under the name Mytilus galloprovincialis (Mediterranean mussel). Lineage: Eukaryota; Metazoa; Mollusca; Bivalvia; Mytilida; Mytilidae. The record is from RNAcentral.
CUAGUUAUAUAUGGACCUCAAUAAGCCUUACAAGGCAUAUCAUCUAUGAAAUAAUGGUUUGGUGUUCACAGAAGUUUCACAUUAUGUCAUAGUUACUCGGAACAUGAAUGCUUAAGUUCAACUGUUGCAGUUCUCAAAUUUGUUAUCUUAAAAUAUUUACGAUGUAUUAAGUUGUUUAAAGAUUUCUAGUCGACUGAAAGAAUCUGUGUUAGAUAAGGGCAUAAUAUUUAUCCUCAUACUAAAACUUAUAAAUACUGUAAGAAAAAUGGCCUUUACCAAAUUUGUUUUUUUUUUUGGUCGUUUUUUUUUAAUUAUUAGUCGUUUCUAACGUUCUGAACUUAAAAAAGAUGAAAUUUUACGAUUUUAAUAUUCUUGAAUUCAGUAUGCUUCAACGCAUAUUUGAAUUUUACAAAAUUAAGGUCAUAGAAAAUUUAAGAUUAAUCAACCAAAUUAAAUAUUGAGUUGUAAUUUCAUCUUAAUUUGAUCUAAAAUUCAAUCUCAGUCAAAUGAUGAAAUACACACAAAUGACUAGACUGCAUGAGUCAAAAGAGAUAUUUGUCAGGUUUAAUAAAGCUUAUACUUUUAAAUGACUUAUCAGUAAUUUGAUACAUUGGUGAUUAUUGAUUGUAAUACAUCCAUGAUCCAACACUUAGAAUAAUUCAACCACCCAAGUUUAAUUUGAACAAGAUCACUAUCUACUCAAAAUGAUGCUAAUUCUUAAAUAAAUGUUUAUUAGUUAAUAAGUGACAUAUGAUACAUAUGAUACAACUAUAACUAGCAGGAUUAAUCUAACACUACACAGUUCAUUAAAUAUAAACAUAGCUUGAGUUUGUGUAUCCGCAUAGUUAUAAAUAAUAGUUUAUCUGCCAAGAAUUCCUUGGGUACAUUAAUGGUUUACAUUUUUUCAAUAAUUCAUUCUUUUUUCAAACAAAAGUUGAAAGAAAAAGUUGCAAAGACAUUUUUUCUGCAACUGUAAUCGUUGUUUAG